Long non-coding RNA from Mustela erminea (ermine), 2766 nucleotides. RefSeq lists it as uncharacterized. The transcript is spliced from 3 exons. NCBI's taxonomy places the organism in Eukaryota, Metazoa, Chordata, Mammalia, Carnivora, Mustelidae. The record is from RefSeq and is a predicted model, not a curated record.
UUACUUCCUGGGUGACUUCAGGAGAGAGAAAUGCAAAUGUUACUCCCACCCCUGGCCCCGAGAUGGAGGCUCCUGCCCUCCAGGAAAGACCGUGAGUUUCUAGAGGCUGACAACUCCAGUGUGAUGGUCACUGUGGCAUUUUGAGAAUGAGCAGGAAGGGAAGAAGGGGUGGAAACAGUCUAGCCCUGCAGAGGGAUUCAGGAGGAAGAUGAAGAAAAUGCCAUGGGACCCAGCAAGGCUCCUUCCAACCUCCCAGGGGUGAUACCGACUAGAGAGGGCUAUGGAUUCAUCCUGGCACUCUUUGUAACAGCAAACAGCUGCAAACGACCCGAAUGCCCAGCCAUGCAGGAAUUAGCUGUAUAAACUCUGGCCAUUCUCAGCACUGAAUACUACGCGGCUGUGCAAAAAGACUGAGGCGACACAGGGCUGACAAUAUGGGAAGACCUCCAGGCUUGGCAAAGAAAGAGCAAGGUGUGCACCUGCCCGGGGAAGGAAGCUUUGCUUCGUGUCGGAAGAGCCGAUGAGGAUGCGGAGACCCUCCGCAGGGAAACACCAACAUAAUUGUAUCACCUGUUCUUGUGGUAACCACUGGGGAGCCAUGGUAGGCAGAAGAAGGAGAUAGUUGCCCUUUACCUUUUCAUGCCUGUUGAACUCUGUGUUUGUUAAUACCAUCGAAAGGUAAGUGUUUAAUCAAAAAAGGGAACAUAUGUAAGCACAUGGGAUGGGAGAGGAAAUAGGAAUAGGAGAGCUGCUGUUCAGAAGUUGACCGUGAACCAAAGCAAUCAGAUUGAUCAUGAGAAGAGCAAACACAUCGAGUACUCACCAGUGCAUUAGGGCUUUGCAUGCAGAGCAACCUUUUAAUCCCUGUACCCACCCCAGAGGUGUGCACUGUGCCCUCCCCCUUCAGGAAAGGGAGGGCGGGGGUGGGGGACAGGCUCAGGAACAAAGAGCCUCCAGCUUGGCUUGCUUCCCUUAAUCACAGUGCCAUAGGAUCCUCCUCCAAUUAGGCUGAGAAAAGGGAUAUGGGGUCUGUCCGCUGGCUGGGCAUGGGAGGCAAUAAUUGUAUGGAGCCCAUGGCAACCCCUUCCUGUUUAUUUUUCUCACAUUCUGUUGUGAUGCCUAUUACUCUUAUUUUUCUUGUUUUUGUCCAUUUUCUCCCAAAAGCAUGUCAGCUCUCGCAGGACCGGAGUUUUCUGUUGUCCUGAUUACUGCUGGGUCCCCAGUGCCUGGCACGUGGAAGUAGUCGAAAGAAUGAAUGAAUGAAUGAUUAGAAUGAAUGAAUGAUCAAAUUAGGAGGAAGAGCCUUAGGUGAUUUGGGAGCAGGAAUAGUUAGAGGCAGGAGAGGAGGGGCUGGGGGGGGGGGGGAGAAGCUUUGGCAUCUGGAGUCCAGGCGUGAGUGCCUUGGGGGCAUUUGCAGGAGGAAGGGACAGGAGCAGAAUCUUGGGCCAGCACGUGGAGCCCUGGAAAGAUGGACGGCCUGGUAGCCCAGAUGGGGAAGGUGGGGCAGCUCAGGUGGUGCUGGCCAGGGUGGUGAUCCAACAUGGGUUGAGGCCCAGUGUGGCCCAGGAGCCUGGAUAAGAAAGGGCACCUUCAAGGUCCAAUGGAAUAAGAAAGACUGGGAAGACGGGGGAGCCCAGGGGCGCCCUUGCCAACCAGGAAUUCAGCUGGGCCUGAUUGAAAGGCAGUGAGUGACAGAGGCAAAGGGACACUAGCCCGGAACAGCUGACUGGGCUGGGCUCCCAGCUUGGCCCAAGGCUAGGUGAGGGGCCAGACCAGAGCAGAGCAUCUGGGAGGGAGGGGGAAUAGGGAGGGUCAGGGGAGUGGCGGGCAUGGGGUGGGGGUGGGCAGGGCCACACUCAUCCAGCAGAGCCAAGAAGGGAAAAAAUGCUUCUUAACAAACUUUAGACCACACACACCCCGUCCUCCCCAGGGUUCCUCCUUCUGUUCCAGCUGCGGGAGUCACCCUGACCCAGGCCUUGAAGAUAGAAGCGCCUGGCUCCAAGGCUGGGGCUGAGCCUGGAGCCCUUCCUUCCCUCCUUCUCCCUACACCUCCGCGCUCCCUUCUCCUCAACUGCCAUCCCUGCUCGCCUCCUCCGGCCCCCUCUCCGGCCCUCCCACCCCUUGAUUUGUGCGGCCCGCCUGCUGUCGUGUUCCAGUACCUUUUUCUAUUCUCCCACUCCCUGCCUGCAGCCUGGGGAACCUGAGGCCCUGCGCUGGCCGUUCAAGCAGGCUGGAGUGGCACAGCUCCAGGGCUAGGGCCCCUGCCUCCCCAAUCCGAACAUUAUACGCCAUUUAAAUCUCAUAACCCCAAGAGCUGGAGACGAUUAUUAGCCUCAUCCCCCAAGGAUGGGGAAACUGAGGCCCGAAGAGACAAUACGCCCGGGAACCAUCUGUGUGGGGUUUUGAACUUACUCCUGCCGCACACACCAGCGUCCAGGCUCUUGGCCUCAGCGGCACAGCCAAGGCAAGAGCUCUGCUGCCACCUGGUGGACACUCGCGGCUCCGUCAGGAUGGAGUCGCCUGUUGCCUUUUGUCCUGAGCAGGAUAGAAACCUAAAUGUCCACCAAGAAGACACCACCUAUCUCAUCUCCUGCCCAUGUUUGGCUUGCGACUACUUUAAGUACGAAAAGACCCUAGAUGUUAAUUCUAACACUCAGGAAAAAUGAAAGACAACAGACAAAGAUAUAUCUAUAAUUAUAAAAGGCAGCACAAAUGCAUAUUUUGGUCUCUUAACUGAUUUUAUUUUAUUUUUAUUUAUUUUUUUUU